This 466-nucleotide ribosomal RNA is filed under the name uncultured bacterium. Its description in RNAcentral is "partial 16S ribosomal RNA". It matches the Rfam family "Bacterial small subunit ribosomal RNA", at positions 28 to 507 of the family's 1533-position model. The record is from RNAcentral.
GAUGAACGCUGGCGGCGUGCUUAACACAUGCAAGUCGAACGGAAAGGCCCAAGCUUGCUUGGGUGCUCGAGUGGCGAACGGGUGAGUAACACGUGGGUGAUCUACCCUGCACUUUGGGAUAAGCCUGGGAAACUGGGUCUAAUACCGGAUAGGACCAUCGUUUAGUGUCGGUGGUGGAAAGUUUUUCGGUGUGGGAUGAGCUCGCGGCCUAUCAGCUUGUUGGUGGGGUAAUGGCCUACCAAGGCGUCGACGGGUAGCCGGCCUGAGAGGGUGUACGGCCACAUUGGGACUGAGAUACGGCCCAGACUCCUACGGGAGGCAGCAGUGGGGAAUAUUGCACAAUGGGCGCAAGCCUGAUGCAGCGACGCCGCGUGGGGGAUGACGGCCUUCGGGUUGUAAACUCCUUUCGCCAAGGACGAAGCGUUUUGUGACGGUACUUGGAGAAGAAGCACCGGCUAACUACGUG